AACGAACGCUGGCGGCAGGCCUAGCACAUGCAAGUCGAACGCCCCGCCAGGGGAGUGGCAGACGGGUGGGUAACACGUGGGAACCUUCCCUAUAGUACGGAAUAGCCCAGGGAAACUUGGAGUAAUACCGUAUACGCCCGAAAAGGGAAAGAAGUUCGCUAUAGGAUGGGCCCGUGUAGGAUUAGCUGGUUGGUGAGGUAAUGGCUCACCAAGGCGACGAUCCUUAGCUGGUUUGAGAGAACGACCAGCCACACGGGGACUGAGACACGGCCCAGACUCCGACGGGAGGCAGGAGUGGGGAAUAUUGGACAAUGGGCGCAAGCCUGGUCCAGCCACGCCGCGUGAGUGGUGAAGGCCUUAGGGUUGUAAAGCUCUUUUGGCGGGGACGAUAAUGACGGUACCCGCAGAAUAAGUCCCGGCUAACUUCGUG
This 430-nucleotide ribosomal RNA is filed under the name uncultured bacterium. Its description in RNAcentral is "partial 16S ribosomal RNA". It matches the Rfam family "Bacterial small subunit ribosomal RNA", at positions 29 to 507 of the family's 1533-position model. The record is from RNAcentral.